RNAcentral lists this ribosomal RNA (450 nucleotides) under uncultured bacterium. Its description in RNAcentral is "partial 16S ribosomal RNA". It matches the Rfam family "Bacterial small subunit ribosomal RNA", at positions 354 to 796 of the family's 1533-position model. The record is from RNAcentral.
GUGGGGAAUCUUCCGCAAUGGACGAAAGUCUGACGGAGCAACGCCGCGUGAGUGAAGAAGGUUUUCGGAUCGUAAAGCUCUUUCGUUAGGGACGAACGUGCUCUUUGUGAAUAAUGAGGAGUAAUGACGGUACCUAAAUAAGAAGCCACGGCUAACUACGUGCCAGCAGCCGCGGUAAUACGUAGGUGGCAAGCGUUGUCCGGAAUUAUUGGGCGUAAAGCGCGCGCAGGCGGGAUAUCAAGUCUGUCUUAAAAGUGCGAGGCUCAACCUCGUGAGGGGACAGAAACUGGUAUUCUUGAGUGUCGGAGAGGAAAGUGGAAUUCCAAGUGUAGCGGUGAAAUGCGUAGAGAUUUGGAAGAGCACCAGUGGCGAAGGCGACUUUCUGGACGAUGUCUGACGCUGAGGCGCGAAAGCUAGGGGAGCGAACGGGAUUAGAAACCCUGGUAGUCC